This 266-nucleotide ribosomal RNA is filed under the name uncultured bacterium. RNAcentral describes it as "partial 16S ribosomal RNA". It matches the Rfam family "Bacterial small subunit ribosomal RNA", at positions 1235 to 1500 of the family's 1533-position model. The record is from RNAcentral.
CGUUACAGAGAGAAGCGAUACCGCGAGGAGGAGCAAAUCUGAAAAAAGCGUCCCUAGUUCGGAUUGUAGGCUGAAACUCGCCUACAUGAAGCUGGAAUUGCUAGUAAUCACAGGUCAGCAUACUACGGUGAAUACGUUCCCGGGCCUUGUACACACCGCCCGUCAAACCAUGAGAGUUGGCAACACCCGAAGUCGGUAGUCUAACCGCAAGGAGGACGCCGCCGAAGGUGGGGUUGAUGAUUAGGGUUAAGUCGUAACAAGGUACC